AUGCUAGAAUUUUUGAAUUUAUCACAUAAUCAGUUCACUGGCAGCAUUCCAUCCUCCUUUGCAAGCAUGGUGAGCCUUUCAACGCUUGAUGUGUCCUACAAUUACUUGGAAGGACCAGUCCCAACAGUCAGGCAACUCCAAAACGCUUCAGCAAGUUGGUUUCUUCCCAAUAAAGGUCUGUGUGGUAACCUCUCUGGCCUGCCACCUUGUUGUUCAACCCAAGUAGCUGCUCACCAAAAAGGGAAGAUACCUGGUUUUCUUUUGCCAAUUGUUCUUGUGAUGGGUUUUGGCAUUAUUGCUGCAAUUGUUAUCAUAAUAAUACUUACUCGUAAGAAGAGAAAACCACAGGAAAGCGUCACCGCUGAAGCAAGGGACCUAUUCUCUGUUUGGAAUUUUGAUGGAAGAUUAGCAUUUGACGAUAUUGUAAGGGCAACAGAAGACUUCGAUGAUAAGUACAUCAUUGGAACAGGAGGAUACGGGAAAGUCUAUAAGGCACAGCUCCAAGAUGGGCAGCUAGUUGCUGUGAAGAAGCUUCAUCAGACCGAAAAAGAGUUGGAUGAUGAAAGUAGAUUUUGUAGUGAAAUGGAAAUCUUAACACAGAUCCGACAACGAAGCAUCGUCAAAAUGUAUGGAUUCUGCUCCCAUCCAACAUAUAAAUUUCUCGUCUAUGACUACAUUCAGCAGGGAAGCCUCCACGGAAUAUUGGAAAAUCAGGAGGUAGCAAAGGAAUUAGAUUGGACGAAGAGAAUUGCUCUUGCAAUAGAUGUGGCUCAAGCAAUAUCUUAUUUGCACCACGAAUGCAGUCCACCUAUAAUCCAUCGAGAUAUCACAAGCAACAACAUUUUACUUGAUACAUCCUUUAAGGCUUUUGUCUCGGAUUUUGGCACGGCAAGGAUUCUUAAGCCCGAUUCAUCAAACUGGAGUGCACUAGCAGGAACGUAUGGCUACAUCGCUCCUGAACUAUCAUACACAUCUGUUGUGACAGAGAAAUGUGAUGUUUAUAGCUUUGGGGUGGUUGUGUUAGAGCUAGUGAUGGGCAAGCAUCCAAGGGAUUUAUUAGAUGGUAGUCUUUCUAACGGCGAACAAUCAAUGAUGGUGAAAGAUAUUCUGGACCAACGGCCAACGGCACCAAUAUCAACUGAAGAGAAUAGCUUAGCUCUGCUCAUCAAGCUGGCCUUAUCUUGUUUGGAAUCUUCUCCCCAAGGAAGGCCAACCAUGCAGGAGGCAUACCAAACACUCAUCCAGCCAUCUUCUAGUUCAACUACCGUGCCUUUCAGUGCACUUACAUUACAGCAAGGGAUGCAUGUUGACACAAGGUCUGAAUCCUAG
This 1329-nucleotide ribosomal RNA is filed under the name Triticum aestivum (bread wheat). RNAcentral describes it as "partial small subunit ribosomal RNA". Lineage: Eukaryota; Viridiplantae; Streptophyta; Magnoliopsida; Poales; Poaceae. The record is from RNAcentral.